CGUCACCAGCCAGAUCACACAUACAUUAGGUGUUCACAACCUAAACACAACUGUGCUUUUAUUCCCGACAGGAUUUCAUCCUGAUUCUUUUCCUUGUUUUGCGAUUUUUGCUGCAACUGUAACACAUGUUAGAGCAGCCUUUUGUGGAGGGACAGCAAAAGGAUAUUGACACACCUGCACGUUUGUUUGUUUGUUUUUUCUGAAGUCACGUGAUAACGCGAGGUCGUUGCCAAGGCACAGGUGUGUGGUCUCCAGUGAUCUGAUGAUUAAAAAUCGUCUGGUGUGACUGCCAGAGGGUGAACGAGCUGGGAAACGAUGAAAACUUCAGAACAAGCUACACAAGCAACUGUAAGACGUCCUGCCUUUGUUCUCAGGGCAAAGCAAAAACUUCCCAAGAAGCCAUGCAACAAGUAAGGACAACUGAUUUACACAAUCUGAAGAUUCAUUCAUUUAAGCCUGUUGUUCUGUGUGGAUGCUGCAACCCUCCUCCACCCCAGCCACAUCCAUUCAGUUCAUCAGUAUCUAGUCCAGAUUCUUCAUAUCUCAGUCUCCUCCUCUAUGCCACCUCAUUGGUUCCUAGGCCAGCUUCUCAGAAGGCUACUCCUCAUCUGAUCCUGCAUCUCUUAACAACACCACCAGUGUCUAGACUCCAUGGGGAGUAUCCUUUUCCUGCAGUUGGCCUAACUACCCCUUCCAAUACAUCAAGUCUUCACAAUGGAGUCUAAUCGCCAAGGACUUUGCACAUUUCUCCUUCAUUAAAUUUGUAAAAUAAAUUAUUGUUAAACUCGUA
Molecule: long non-coding RNA, 790 nt
Organism: Cheilinus undulatus (humphead wrasse)
Lineage: Eukaryota; Metazoa; Chordata; Actinopteri; Labriformes; Labridae
Exons: 4
Source: RefSeq, a predicted model, not a curated record